AAGUCUUCAAGUCUUCGUUGUUUACAGUUUUCAGCUGGUCCCUUGUUUACAGUUUUCAAGUCUUCGUUGUACUUUUGUAAAGCCUCAAAUGGACUAAUUGAGUUCCUGAUUGAUUGCAGUUAGUCGCUAAUAUACUCUUCAAUAUAAGUACAGAUGCAGUCAAACAACUUCGUCCAAUGGGUGACAUCUUCUCUAAAGUAGUUCUCUUACUCCAGUUUGCUCAUAAUUAAAAGACAAUUGGAGCCACCUAGGCAAGCUUCCAUGGAUACAGAAUGGAUAUAUUAUCCCAGAAACUCUGAAACCUACCAUGCUGGAGCCCAAUUGUAUGUUGAUAGACUUCACACCAGCUUGGGGAAUCCAGCUAUCAUGCAAUGCCCUUGUCGCCUCUGCAAUAAUAUGCAGUGGCAUUCCCCUAAGUUAGUUUUUGGUCACUUGUGCAUGAAUGAGAUCCAUCCUCUUCAUGUUAGUCGGAUCUUACAUGGUGAGAAGUCGAGAACAUAUGUACAAGAAG
Molecule: long non-coding RNA, 511 nt
Organism: Rosa chinensis
Lineage: Eukaryota; Viridiplantae; Streptophyta; Magnoliopsida; Rosales; Rosaceae
Exons: 3
Source: RefSeq, a predicted model, not a curated record